RNAcentral lists this ribosomal RNA (440 nucleotides) under uncultured bacterium. RNAcentral describes it as "partial 16S ribosomal RNA". It matches the Rfam family "Bacterial small subunit ribosomal RNA", at positions 338 to 795 of the family's 1533-position model. The record is from RNAcentral.
CCUACGGGAGGCAGCAGUGGGGAAUAUUGCACAAUGGGGGGAACCCUGAUGCAGCGACGCCGCGUGAGUGAAGAAGUAUUUCGGUAUGUAAAGCUCUAUCAGCAGGGAAGAAAAUGACGGUACCUGACUAAGAAGCCUCCGCUAACUACGUGCCAGCAGCCGCGGUAAUACGUAGGGGGCAAGCGUUAUCCGGAUUUACGGGGUGUAAAGGGAGCGUAGACGGCAGAGCAAGUCUGAAGUGAAAGCCAGCGGCCCAACCGCGGGACUGCUUUGGAAACUGCCCGGCUAGAGUGCAGGAGAGGUAAGCGGAAUUCCUAGUGUAGCGGUGAAAUGCGUAGAUAUUAGGAGGAACACCAGUGGCGAAGGCGGCUUACUGGACAGUAACUGACGUUGAGGCUCGAAAGCGUGGGGAGCAAACAGGAUUAGAUACCCGAGUAGUC